Long non-coding RNA from Saccostrea cuccullata (small rock oyster), 733 nucleotides. RefSeq lists it as uncharacterized. The record is from RefSeq and is a predicted model, not a curated record. Lineage: Eukaryota; Metazoa; Mollusca; Bivalvia; Ostreida; Ostreidae. The transcript has 3 exons.
UUCUUCUGUUAGUUUUAUUAUCAAAACUUUGUAUGGUUUAUAGCUUAUAUUGAGCAUACCAUUUUCCUUAAAUGAUGGAUUAACUUGCUGCCUGAAUGAAUCCAUUUGUCCAACAUCUGGGAAAGUUUACAUACCCUGUGGAGUAAUGAUGCAUUUUUUAUUUAUUCACUCUUUAAGCCUGAAACUCUGGACAGCUACAAUGAUAAAAGUAUUAUAUAAAUAUUUUUAAUGUACAUGUAAUCUAAACAAAAAAUGAUUUUUUUUUCAUUAAUUUAGAAAUUGUAGAAAAUUACAACCAUAGAUCUGAAGUUGGGCUUUUAUGUUUUCCACACAAUGUUACGGAUAUUUUUUUUAAAAUUGUGUAGCAUAUUUGUAUGUCAGAAUACAUCAUUGUUUGUUUAGGCCUAGUCACUAGUGAAUCAUUGACUGAAACAAUGAAAACAUCUCAUUCAAUUUAGUUUAAAUUUGUGUUACUGAUGAUCUCCGUUAUUACACAUAUUGUCUCAAAGAAAAUGAGCUAAUUGACAGGAACUCAGUACAUAUUUAGUGCAAUUAAUUUUUAAUAAUUCUAAAAAGUGUGCAACUUAGUAUUGGGGGGGGGGGGUUGUUACACACAAGGCAGUGCAUAUUUACAGUUUUUCACUGACUGUACUAAUGCAUUUUAAUGAACAUGAACACACUCGCUUUAUUUUAUGUUAACAAAAGCAUGUCUACAUAUUGUAGAUCUACACAU